GAGUUUGAUCCUGGCUCAGGACGAACGCUGGCGGCGCGCCUAACACAUGCAAGUCGAACGGGACUAUGCGAGAUGAAGUUUUCGGAUGGAAUUUUGUAUAGUUUAGUGGCGGACGGGUGAGUAACACGUGAGCAACCUGCCUUCGAGAGGGGAAUAACGGCUGGAAACGGUCGCUAAUACCGCAUAACAUACGGGAGGGACAUCCCUUUUGUAUCAAAGAUUUAUCGCUCGAAGAUGGGCUCGCGUCCGAUUAGGUAGUUGGUGAGGUAACGGCCCACCAAGCCGACGAUCGGUAGCCGGACUGAGAGGUUGAACGGCCACAUUGGGACUGAGACACGGCCCAGACUCCUACGGGAGGCAGCAGUGGGGGAUAUUGCACAAUGGGGGAAACCCUGAUGCAGCGACGCCGCGUGUAGGAAGACGGUCCUCUGGAUUGUAAACUACUGUCCCCAGGGACGAAGAUGACGGUACCUGGGGAGGAAGCUCCGGCUAACUACGUGCCAGCAGCCGCGGUAAUACGUAGGGAGCGAGCGUUGUCCGGAAUUA
This 546-nucleotide ribosomal RNA is filed under the name uncultured bacterium. RNAcentral's name for it is "bacterial SSU rRNA". It matches the Rfam family "Bacterial small subunit ribosomal RNA", at positions 9 to 553 of the family's 1533-position model. The record is from RNAcentral.